Small nucleolar RNA from Eublepharis macularius, 78 nucleotides. RefSeq annotates it as small nucleolar RNA SNORD81. The record is from RefSeq and is a predicted model, not a curated record. The transcript has a single exon. Lineage: Eukaryota; Metazoa; Chordata; Lepidosauria; Squamata; Eublepharidae.
GAAUAGAUAAAUGAUGAUAACUUCACCUUGAACUCUCUCUCUGAUAAUGUGAUGGAGAAUCUAGGGUCUGAUCUCUUC